CGAACUUGGAGAUAGCUGGUUCUCUCCGAAAUAGCUUUAGGGCUAGCCUCAAGUGAUGAUUAUUGGAGGUAGAGCACUGUUUGGACGAGGGGCCCCUCUCGGGUUACCGAAUUCAGACAAACUCCGAAUGCCAAUUAAUUUAACUUGGGAGUCAGAACAUGGGUGAUAAGGUCCGUGUUCGAAAGGGAAACAGCCCAGACCACCAGCUAAGGUCCCAAAAUAUAUGUUAAGUGGAAAAGGAUGUGGCGUUGCCCAGACAACUAGGAUGUUGGCUUAGAAGCAGCCAUCAUUUAAAGAGUGCGUAAUAGCUCACUAGUCGAGUGACACUGCGCCGAAAAUGUACCGGGGCUAAACAUAUUACCGAAGCUGUGGAUUGUCCUUUGGACAAUGGUAGGAGAGCGUUCUAAGGGCGUUGAAGCAUGAUCGCAAGGACAUGUGGAGCGCUUAGAAGUGAGAAUGCCGGUGUGAGUAGCGAAAGACGGGUGAGAAUCCCGUCCACCGAUUGACUAAGGUUUCCAGAGGAAGGCUCGUCCGCUCUGGGUUAGUCGGGUCCUAAGCUGAGGCCGACAGGCGUAGGCGAUGGAUAACAGGUUGAUAUUCCUGUACCACCUAUAAUCGUUUUAAUCGAUGGGGGGACGCAGUAGGAUAGGCGAAGCGUACGAUUGGAUUGUACGUCUAAGCAGUGAGAUUGAGUGUUAGGCAAAUCCGGCACUCUUAAGAUUGAGCUGUGAUGGGGAGAGGAAAUUGUUUCCUCGAGUCGUUGAUUUCACACUGCCGAGAAAAGCCUCUAGAUAGAGAUUAGGUGCCCGUACCGCAAACCGACACAGGUAGUCAAGAUGAGAAUUCUAAGGUGAGCGAGCGAACUCUCGUUAAGGAACUCGGCAAAAUGACCCCGUAACUUCGGGAGAAGGGGUGCUCUUUAGGGUGCAAGCCCAGAAGAGCCGCAGUGAAUAGGCCCAAGCGACUGUUUAUCAAAAACACAGGUCUCUGCUAAACCGUAAGGUGAUGUAUAGGGGCUGACGCCUGCCCGGUGCUGGAAGGUUAAGAGGAGUGGUUAGCUUCUGCGAAGCUACGAAUCGAAGCCCCAGUAAACGGCGGCCGUAACUAUAACGGUCCUAAGGUAGCGAAAUUCCUUGUCGGGUAAGUUCCGACCCGCACGAAAGGCGUAACGAUUUGGGCACUGUCUCAACGAGAGACUCGGUGAAAUCAUAGUACCUGUGAAGAUGCAGGUUACCCGCGACAGGACGGAAAGACCCCGUGGAGCUUUACUGUAGCCUGAUAUUGAAAUUCGGCACAGCUUGUACAGGAUAGGUAGGAGCCUUUGAAACGUGAGCGCUAGCUUACGUGGAGGCGUUGGUGGGAUACUACCCUAGCUGUGUUGGCUUUCUAACCCGCACCACUUAUCGUGGUGGGAGACAGUGUCAGGCGGGCAGUUUGACUGGGGCGGUCGCCUCCUAAAAGGUAACGGAGGCGCUCAAAGGUUCCCUCAGAAUGGUUGGAAAUCAUUCAUAGAGUGUAAAGGCAUAAGGGAGCUUGACUGCGAGACCUACAAGUCGAGCAGGGUCGAAAGACGGACUUAGUGAUCCGGUGGUUCCGCAUGGAAGGGCCAUCGCUCAACGGAUAAAAGCUACCCCGGGGAUAACAGGCUUAUCUCCCCCAAGAGUUCACAUCGACGGGGAGGUUUGGCACCUCGAUGUCGGCUCAUCGCAUCCUGGGGCUGUAGUCGGUCCCAAGGGUUGGGCUGUUCGCCCAUUAAAGCGGUACGCGAGCUGGGUUCAGAACGUCGUGAGACAGUUCGGUCCCUAUCCGUCGUGGGCGUAGGAAAUUUGAGAGGAGCUGUCCUUAGUACGAGAGGACCGGGAUGGACAUACCUCUGGUGUACCAGUUGUCGUGCCAACGGCAUAGCUGGGUAGCUAUGUAUGGACGGGAUAAGUGCUGAAAGCAUCUAAGCAUGAAGCCCCCCUCAAGAUGAGAUUUCCCAACUUCGGUUAUAAGAUCCCUCAGAGAUGAUGAGGUUAAUAGGUUCGAGGUGGAAGCGUGGUGACACGUGGAGCUGACGAAUACUAAUCGAUCGAAGACUUAAUCAA
This 2087-nucleotide ribosomal RNA is filed under the name Staphylococcus sp. M0480. Its description in RNAcentral is "bacterial LSU rRNA". It matches the Rfam family "Bacterial large subunit ribosomal RNA", at positions 834 to 2925 of the family's 2925-position model. Lineage: Bacteria; Bacillati; Bacillota; Bacilli; Caryophanales; Staphylococcaceae. The record is from RNAcentral.